AGUUAUCGACCAGCCGCCACUUGCAGCAUAAGAUCAGGCCGGGAAAAAUUUAAUUUGUUGUUUCUUAAAUUAAUUCAUUAUAUACAUCAUGUCCGCGCAACCAUGGACCGCGGCCUAUGCAGCCAACGAAGCAAUAUGGUUAGCCAGCGAAGCCAGCUCUGGCGACAAACAAAAUGCAUGGCGCGCACAAAAAUUGUUACUGGCACACGCUACAGGCAACCUAAAUGAAGCCAGCCAUUAUGAUGUGCUUAAACAGCAUCAGGAUAAACGUGAAAGUGCCAGAUGCACGGAGACGUACAUGCAAGAUUGUUUAAGUGGAUGUCAAGAGCUGCUGGCCCAGAGUCGUCGUCGACGUGCCGCUGCUGGAAUGCCCGUCGAAUGGUCCGUACCCCUUGAAAAUGCGUUCGAGCGUCAGUGUCGGGGUAGAUAUGAAAGCUGCAUACGUGAUGAAAUCACAACAAACGAACUGCAACGGCCCAUGGCCAACAGCAACAGGAUACCACUCUGCAUACCAGUGCCCACAGUGUCCACAGCAACAGCGUCUCCAGCUUUCGAUGGAUUUCGUACGGCACGUGAACAAUUAAUGCUGCAUGAUAUGAAGAAGAGCAAACAAAGUGUUGCAGCUGGAACUGGAUUAGGCAGUGGUGCAGGUGGAACUGGUGGCGCACCCAGUGAUAUCAUGAACUACAGAAAAAAGUCGCUGGGUGGACGGGGACGAAGUGUAAAUGCCAAAUUUGUGCAGCCCAUUGGACAAACUGAGGCUAAUGUUGCUGCUGUGCCUGUGAAGCAGGAUACCCCGGCCAAGGCUGCCGUGGCAAUGCCACCCUCUUUGGCACAUUUGGAUCCCUUAAUGGUUGAACAAAUUAUGAGAGAAAGCAUGCAUAAAUACAAGCCAAUAGCUUGGGAGGAUAUAGCCGGUCUGGAGUAUGCUAAAUCAACAUUUAUGGAAACCAUUAUACAUCCCCUACAGCGUCCAGAUCUGUUCAAGGGUGUACGUCGUCCGCCUCGCGGUGUUUUGUUGUUUGGCCCACCUGGCACUGGAAAAACUCUAAUAGCCAAGUGCAUUGCGUCUCAGUCAAGGGCAACGUUCUUUAGCAUCAAUCCGUCCUCGCUAACCUCCAAGUGGGUGGGCGAAGGUGAGAAAUUGGUCAAGACGCUAUUUGCUGUUGCCGCCGUACAUCAACCAGCCAUUAUAUUUAUGGAUGAGGUGGACUCAUUGCUAUCGCAGCGCUCGGAUAAUGAGCAUGAAAGCUCAAGGCGAUUGAAAAACGAGUUUUUUAUACAAUUAGAUGGCGCGGCAACGAACGAAGAUGAUCACAUUGUUAUCAUCGGUGCUACCAACCGCCCCCAGGAGCUUGACGAAGCCGUCCGUCGGCGGUUUGUGCGACGAAUCUACGUUUCGCUACCUGAGGCGCCAGCACGUCAACAGAUAAUCGAGAAACUUAUACAACAAGUGCAUCAUAACCUUGACGAAGCACAGGUUCAAGGGCUAGCUGAGUUAACUGAAGGGUACUCGGGCGCAGACAUGGAUAGCCUGUGCCGUUAUGCGGCCAUGCAGCCGCUGCGAGCUCUAAGUAGCUCAGAGAUAGACUCAAUUGACGCACAGCAGCUGCCUGCCGUAACCAUGUCGGACUUUAUGUGCGCACUGCAGCAUGUCUCAAAAAGCGUCUCACCGGAGGAUGUGAAGCGUUACGUGGCGUGGAAUGAAAUUUAUGGCAUUAAGCGUUAAACUGUUAAUGUCCACAUAGGUGGUCUUAGGGCUUAAUACCUUGUAAAGUGCAUCAAAUGUGGGCCGCUCUUCGGGCUCCUCCAGCCAACACUGCAGCAUUAUUGUGUACACCUGAGGUGUACAAAUCUCGGGUCGCUCCAGGCGAUUGCCCGCUAAUAGAAACGGUAUCAGCUCACUGUUGCUUAUAGUGGGAUAUGGCGAUGCGCCCAGUGUGCCAAUCUCCCAGAGCACAACACCGUAUGCCCAAAUGUCGCUCUUGCUCGAGUAGACAUUAUCCCGUAUGGCUUCAAUGGAAAGCCAUCGCAAAGGACGUACCUUGCGUGUUUUGGUAUUUGUGUAGAUGCCAUGUCUAGACAGACCGAAAUCUGAUAUUUUCAAUGUCUUAUUGUUGUCGAUUAGUACAUUGCGCGCUGCCAGGUCGCUGAGGAUUAGAAUUUUCACAGAAAUUAUAAUUUUCGGACUUGCGAACAACUUCUGUGUUGCCAUCAAAAGCAUUUUUCGGUAUAAUUGAAAAAUGAAUGAAUUUCAUAUUGAAGAACGGUUCGGGUACGUAUCUACCCGCAGCAGGUAAGAAGCUAUGAUACUUAACAGGUAAAAUUAACCACAUUUACUUAGUUGGGCUAAUUAGCUUUUUGGGAAUUGAUAUACAAAUAUUUGCAGGAAUUUAUUCUGCCUUAUUUACACUAAUUUGCAACUGUUUUUAUACUAUAAACUGGCCGACUUGCUA
Drosophila virilis is the source of this 2456-nucleotide non-coding RNA. The record is from RefSeq and is a predicted model, not a curated record. NCBI's taxonomy places the organism in Eukaryota, Metazoa, Arthropoda, Insecta, Diptera, Drosophilidae.